This 422-nucleotide ribosomal RNA is filed under the name uncultured bacterium. RNAcentral's name for it is "partial 16S ribosomal RNA". It matches the Rfam family "Bacterial small subunit ribosomal RNA", at positions 360 to 774 of the family's 1533-position model. The record is from RNAcentral.
AAUAUUGGACAAUGGGGGCAACCCUUAUCCAGCCAUGCCGCGUGUGUGAAAAAGGUCCNCGGAGUNUNAAGCACUCUAAGUUGGGNAGAAGGGCUUUAGGCCAAUACCCUUAAGUUUAGACGUUACUAACAGAAUAAGCACUGGCUAACUCUGGGCCAGCAGCCGCGUGAAUACAGCGGGUGCAAGCGUUGACCGGAAUUAAUGGGCGUAGAGCGCGCGUAGGUGUUUCAGUAAGAUGGGUGUGAGAUCGCCGGGCUUAACCGGGGAACUGCUUUCAAAACUGCUGAGCUAGAGUACGGUAGAGGGUAGUGGAUUUUCCUGUGUAGCGGUGAAAUGCGUAGAUAUAGAAAGGAACACCAGUGGCGAAGGCGACUACCUGGACUGAUACUGACACUGAGGUGCGAAAGCGUGGGGAGCAAACA